CUUUCCAGAUGCUUAUUUUGUGUCAUUUUAAAGAGGCAAUCUACUAGUACUGUACCUUUCAUUUGUAUCCAAACCCUAUGUUAGUUUAGAUGGCCAGAGCUGAAUAAGUAUACUUAUUAUCAGACUGUGAGAAGCUUGUUACAAGAGUAACAAGCUGUAACUAAUGCCUUGACACUUUACCAGGGUAGCGAACCGUGUUUUAUCACACCGGCUCAUAAUAGUAAAAUUGUUCAUUGCUGUUGAACUGGUACAUGAGAGAAUCCUGCAGUAAAAAAUGUUUACUUUCAUCAAACAGUAAAAAGGGGAGGGAGGUAACUGAAGGUUUUCAGAAGUCUUUAUUCACUGUCUGCCUACAUAUGAAUCAGCAGUAGCCCUUUUUGGCCAUGCUGGCAGAGUUCGAACUCGGAUUACAGAGGUACAUAAAGAAGAGAUAUAGAAGAAAAGUUGGAGAAUUUUUAUCGAUGGAAGUGUUGUGGGCCUGUACAGAUCUCCCUAAAUUCUCCUAUUGUGUGCUACCCUGUGGGCAAGCUGUGUUCAUCACUGUCAGUGGUGGCCAGGACUGAAAGGAAAAGAGAAAUUAUAUGCAUUUCUCUUUCUUGUCAAUUUCUUUCUUAUUAAGCCACCUAAUGUGCUAAAGGGCAAAA
Corapipo altera (White-ruffed manakin) is the source of this 644-nucleotide long non-coding RNA. RefSeq lists it as uncharacterized. Lineage: Eukaryota; Metazoa; Chordata; Aves; Passeriformes; Pipridae. The record is from RefSeq and is a predicted model, not a curated record. The transcript is spliced from 2 exons.